This 175-nucleotide microRNA precursor is filed under the name Cajanus cajan (pigeon pea). RNAcentral's name for it is "miRNA gene-KK1_050620". The record is from RNAcentral. Lineage: Eukaryota; Viridiplantae; Streptophyta; Magnoliopsida; Fabales; Fabaceae.
UGCAUAGAUCAAAUAUGAAAGUUUUUAAAAAAUUUGAAAAUCAUUUGAUACUCCGUUUCAUUAAUUCAAAUCAAUAUAUAAAAUAAUUUUAUGAUUAUCUGUCAAUUUGAAUUAAUGAAAUGAAGUAUCAAAUGAUUUUCAAAUUUUCUAAAAAUUUCCAGAUUUAAUCUAUGCA